RNAcentral lists this transfer RNA (69 nucleotides) under Mesocricetus auratus (golden hamster). It matches the Rfam family "tRNA". Rfam says of the family: Transfer RNA (tRNA) molecules are approximately 80 nucleotides in length. Their secondary structure includes four short double-helical elements and three loops (D, anti-codon, and T loops). The record is from Rfam by way of RNAcentral. Lineage: Eukaryota; Metazoa; Chordata; Mammalia; Rodentia; Cricetidae.
GAAGAUGUAGCUCAGUUGGUAGAGUGCUUGAUAUGCGUGAGACCCUGGGUUCCAGUCCCAGCACCAUUA